UGGGGAAUAUUGCGCAAUGGGCGAAAGCCUGACGCAGCGACGCCGCGUGAGGGAUGAAGGCCUUCGGGUUGUAAACCUCUUUCAUCAGGGACGAAGCGAAAGUGACGGUACCUGCAGAAGAAGCACCGGCCAACUACGUGCCAGCAGCCGCGGUAAUACGUAGGGUGCAAGCGUUGUCCGGAAUUAUUGGGCGUAAAGAGCUCGUAGGCGGUUUGUCGCGUCGGCUGUGAAAACCCGAGGCUCAACCUCGGGCCUGCAGUCGAUACGGGCAAACUAGAGUGCGGUAGGGGAGACUGGAAUUCCUGGUGUAGCGGUGAAAUGCGCAGAUAUCAGGAGGAACACCGGCGGCGAAGGCGGGUCUCUGGGCAUUAACUGACGCUGAGGAGCGAAAGCAUGGGGAGCGAAC
RNAcentral lists this ribosomal RNA (406 nucleotides) under uncultured bacterium. RNAcentral describes it as "bacterial SSU rRNA". It matches the Rfam family "Bacterial small subunit ribosomal RNA", at positions 355 to 773 of the family's 1533-position model. The record is from RNAcentral.